This 497-nucleotide ribosomal RNA is filed under the name uncultured bacterium. RNAcentral describes it as "partial 16S ribosomal RNA". It matches the Rfam family "Bacterial small subunit ribosomal RNA", at positions 28 to 507 of the family's 1533-position model. The record is from RNAcentral.
GAUGAACGCUGGCGGCGUGCCUAAUACAUGCAAGUCGAGCGAACAGACGAGGAGCUUGCUCCUCUGACGUUAGCGGCGGACGGGUGAGUAACACGUGGAUAACCUACCUAUAAGACUGGGAUAACUUCGGGAAACCGGAGCUAAUACCGGAUAACAUGUUGAACCGCAUGGUUCAACAGUGAAAGACGGUUUUGCUGUCACUUAUAGAUGGAUCCGCGUCGCAUUAGCUAGUUGGUAAGGUAACGGCUUACCAAGGCAACGAUGCGUAGCCGACCUGAGAGGGUGAUCGGCCACACUGGAACUGAGACACGGUCCAGACUCCUACGGGAGGCAGCAGUAGGGAAUCUUCCGCAAUGGGCGAAAGCCUGACGGAGCAACGCCGCGUGAGUGAAGAAGGUCUUCGGAUCGUAAAACUCUGUUAUUAGGGAAGAACAAAUGUGUAAGUAACUAUGCACGCCUUGACGGUACCUAAUCAGAAAGCCACGGCUAACUACGUG